GUAAAGUUAACGGUACAUAUUACCUGGAAGAUCGAGACUUGUAUACUGAACGGCAGGUGCUCAUUUCAGAUAAGAAAAUGUCGACUUUCGUCUGAUAUUGUGAAGUUUCUCAGUUUAUUAUGUGAUAUUUCAAAGUAACCCUUAGAUUUUGCUAGUAAUAUACAAUCAUGAAUGACCACAAGAAAGUGUAUUUAACUUUAAUAUUUUUAUUGACACUAGCCAGCGUGAUUUUAAUGGUUGUGGGCUUUGCGACUGAACAUUGGAUUAUUUCACACCCAGUGAAAAACCGCACAGCAAAUGUGUCGGGCGAAACCACAACAAAAUUCACGGGAGUUAUUACAUUAGGGUUAUUUAAAGGGCAUAGAUCAUUAGAUUAUGGUUUUGGGCUCAGAUCCAGAGAUUUGUGGGUUGUGUGUGAUGCUGGAUUUGGUUCCUGUAUCUUUUGUAACGAAUCAUCCACAAAAACUCAAAAUAAAAUAUUGGAUACAGCAAUUGCAAGAUAUAAAAACUCUUCAUCAGUGAAAGAAUUGAAUGAUCUAGGAUUGUUUAAUUUUGGAUUAUGGGUGUCAACGAUUGUGAUGUUGUCUCUAGGAAUAGUUUGGGGUAUGGUGGCUAUUGGAUUUACUGUAUAUAAUGUAUUUGGUAAACCAAUAGAAACAGUGACAGGAGAAAUGGGACUAUAUCUCUGGAAUGGACUGGCAUUAAACUUCAGUUUGUUGGCUGUGCUACUAUAUGUUGGUUUGUUUGUCAACAAUUUACAAGUCAACCUUUUACCAGAAGAAGACAUUCUUGCUGGUUUCUCAUCCAAAGAUAAAACACAGUUUGACCAAUCAUUUUAUUGCGUGGUGGGCGCUGUCGGAGGGUUUUUCAUCAAUAUUAUUUUAUUAUGUGUGUCUGGGCAGAAAUGUUGGUGUAGUUAUUCACAUGCUGGAGAAAAAGAGAUAGACAAUGGAAUGAUUCUCUAUUAAUGGAUCUCCACAUAGUCUUUAUUUCUUUCCCACGAAUAAUCCAAUUGGAAUCUUUAUUGUUUUCCCAAGAUAAAUCCAAUUGGCAACGCUAAUCAGAUCUAGCUCCUUUAAUUCUGUUGCAAAAACAAAAAGCUAACGGUAGACAUUGACAAACUGUUUGCUGAAAAUUUUGUAAGAAUUAUAUGAAAUGAAAAUAUAAAUAUUUUUAAAUCAUUGAUAAGAUUAUGAUUCCUUCUUCCAAAUAAUAAAAAUAUCUGACCUCUAUUUAAUUUGAUUUCAACAUUUAAAUUGUAAUUGACUUUACUGAUGUCAGAUUAUUUUAACUAAAUUUUAAAAACCUACCCCAAAAUGCAUACCAAUGAACAAAUGAGUUACUAAAUAUAUGACAUCAAGUACUUUGUGACAUCAUUAUUUUCCAGAAAACUUUUCAUUAAUGAUCAAAUAUUUCGAAUUUUCAAAUAUUGCAAACAGUGUAGACUUCUAUUCGAUUUUAAUUUUAGAUAAUGGGUAGCCCUCAUGGGUCAUACAAAGGAUAUAUUUGAAAAAAUUAGUUUAUCCUAUUAUGAAAAUAAAAACAAAAUUCAACUGAAAUUUUUCCAAACUAUAUGGUACAACUUUGAUAUAAAAUCCAGUCGAUAUCACAUUUCUUUCUACAAACUGAUCUAUAUUUAGUAACUCAUAGAAAUCCUUGACUAACUUACAUUUUAUUUAGAAAUACUAACCCCGACUGGCAGUAAAUAUAAAAGACAUGUAGUUCUAAAAGGCAUGAAAGAGAAAAAAAUAUUCUGCCCCCAUGCAUGUAAAUUAUGACCUCUGACCAAAACCACUUGCAGUUUUCUGUUACAGUAAAUGAACAAGUACAUAUAAAUUAUGUUAAUUUGUUAUGUUUAUGUAUGUAAAUAUAUAUAUACACUGUAUGAUUAUGUUCUUGAAAGGACACACCCUCUUUGACUUGGAUGUAAAAUGAAAGUUUUGAUUUAGUUGAUCUAAUAAUGACUAGAGAAUCCUAGUCAAAACAUUGCUCAGUAAUAAGCAGUAAUUGUAUUCCAUAGAAUUUUGACUUGUGUAUUGAUUUAAUCUACAUUUUAAAUUUUAUGUCUCUGAUUGUGUUAAUGAUGAGCUUUAACCAAGAUUCAAAAUGGCAAAAAAAGAAACUUUUAACAAACAGAUCAAUCUUCAGUUACUAUACUGAAAUGAAAAUUUAAUGGUAUAGAUGCCUGAUCACUAAUGGAAGUAACACAUCAGAUCGAAUCUGCAAGUUAUUUUCACCUAAAUCAAAGAGGUUUUGUUCCUUUGUCAUUGGUUGUCUGUUUUUUUAUAUGCCCACAUUUUCAUGUGGACAUAUAUUGUCGUCGCCCCUGUGGACACUCUACAGGUCAAAAUUGUAUAUCUCCCAAAGAUCUUGGUCUCUUUGUAAAUUGGCAUGUAUCGGUCCGUAACUUCAUGGAUUAUGGCCCCUGACUGUAUGGGAAAUCAUGUUUUUAGCUUGUGGACGCUCUAGGGGUCACAAUUUUCAUACGUUUUUGAUGAAACUUGAAAUGUAUGUUUAUAACCCAAAGAUCUUGGUCACAAUUUUAUCCGAUUUAAAAAAACCUUUACACAUACCACUGUUACACCCUAAUGAUGCCCAACAAAAUGGCUGCUACUUGUACGCAAAUAGAGUAAAAGGAUGUAAUACCAAGGUUGUGGACUUCUAUCACAAUUUUUAUCCGAUCUUGAUGAAACCUAAAAUAUAUGUUCAUAUCCAAAAGAUCUUGGUUCUUCCGGAUAUUCGUGCAAAUUGGACCAUAACUUCCUGGAUUAUGGCGCCUGAUUGUACAAAAAAUCACAUUUUUUUUAGCUUGUUCUCUGUACAUCUCUUGCAAAAUGUGGACAUAUCUUGCAUGACAACCGCUGGUACAAUAUAAUAUUGUAUAUUCCUUUUAACUUACAUAUACAUGUGUAUUUAAAUGUUGUUUUAUUAAUGGUCAAUGUGUGUAAUUAAAUUUGAAUUGGGGCUCUUAUCUUCAAAUCAGAAUGUCAUGUUUGAGUAUGGUAAGAGCAUUGAUUUGAAUCUUACCUUUGUUUGCUGAUUAAAAGUGAUGUCACAUUUAACAGAAGUUUUUUGAUCGCUACAAUGUUUUACAGCUGCACUUUUCUUUUAUAUUUAAACAAAUUAAUUUAUUAGGUACCAAAGUCGAUUGUUUAUAAGUAAAACAACUAUUUGUAAAUUGAUUUUGGAUUUAAUGUGCACUUCAUGUUAAAAACUUUAUACGCAAAGCCUUCAAAAUGAAAUUUCCGUCCCUAUUUGAAAUGCCUGAGGAAUUCUAAAUAUGCAAAAAAUAAGCCUUAAACCUUUUAUCGUGGAGAAAUAAAUAUUCUUAAUUGCCUUGUCAGUUUUAUACACCACCCACUCUUGUAGUUGUAGACUCAUAAAAUUGAAUCAAUUCUGUUCAAUCUUGAACUUUGAAACUUAGCAUGUAUGUAUGUGAGCUUUUAAUAUGAAUAAGCCUAUCAUAUGUAUAUAUAUAUAUAUGUGUAAGCUUAUUUUUGUGUGAAAAAUAAGCAGUGAAAACUAGGUUAUAAAGUAUUUGAAAUAUUUUUAAUUGUAACAAUUUUGAUAGCAAGCUUAAAGGACGUAUAGCUCUAGUUUUUGGAACCUUAAAAUAGACAUGUUUUUUUUUAUUCAUAACAAAGGACACUCAAAACAAUAGAGUACAAGAUGUUGUGCACUGAUUAUAAAAUGUUCAUCGUGUUUUAAAUAUAGGAUAUUAGGAUCCUAUAUUUUCACCAUGAGAUAACAACAUCAAUAUUGAUUGAAAUGGACCAAUAUUGAAUUCUAGUUUGUGUUUUUAAUUUCGAAUAUUCAAAUGAUAUUGAGUUAGAGGUUUAGCUCCUUUAAUUUAUGAAUAGAAACAUUAACUUAUUUGAUUUGUGAGACAGACACUUCCUAUUUAGAAUUCUGAAAGGUGUUAAUGUGAAAUAGUCAUGUCGCAACGUAUUUGUCUUAUAGGUUUUGUUUUAUGUGUAGUGCAGUCCUCCUGCACUUACUAAUGUAGGCUCAGAUUUGAAAGUAGUCUGUUGAUUGUAUUAUUAUCAAAAUCCUACUUGUAUUUUACAAUGCAGUAGGAUGACUCAACAUUCCUUAUAUAAAAUACAAUGAAUAAAAAAAAAUCACCAGUUUUAAGUACUUGUAAAAUAAGAAAUAAUGUUAAAAAGUUGAAUUUAUAAACAUUGUAGUCUAGCUGUCCAAACAAACAAAUUUCUGAAUACAUCACAGACAGACAAUCUAAAAUGUUAUGAUGGCAAAGCAACAUAUGUUUUGGUUAAAUAUAAUUGGUCAGAUUUUUCCAACCUUGUGUUUUAUCUACUCUUGGAAUAUGCUUUACAGUGUUGUUUAUUUGUCCUACAUUGUUUGUUGUUUUGUUUUUUUUACAUUGACUUAAAUAAAAAAGAAAAUUUCUAUCCAGAAUAUCAUGAAAUAAUUAUUUAAUUCCCAACAUUAUUUCUUAUUUUGAAACCAAGUUUUGACUGUUUUUAUUUAUUGUCUAUAAAUGUGUUGGUUAAUUGUUAACAUUAGCAUUAUAUGUUAACAUUUUACGCUUAAUAUUUACUAGCAUUAGGAUGAGUAACUUCCCUUGGAUUGUUUUCCAUAUUAAUCUAUGGAUAACAGUCACUAUACAAAUGUUUCAAAAAGAUUUCACUGGUUGUUAUCAAGCAUACAAUUUUUCCAUAGUACUGUGUUGUGUUAUAUUAUGUUAAUCACUAAAUGCCAUUCAGAGAUUCUUUUAUUAAUUGUUUAGAUUUUUAACUGGUACUAAUAUUUGUUGAAGAUUCAGUCAGCCCUAUUAUUUAACCUCAAUUGUGUUAAUAAAUUGUUUCUAGUAGGUUGACAAUCUGGGGUCCUGUAUAUUAAUUGUAUACGAAAAGGUUCCUUUCAAGUUUUGUCCUCAGACCUUAAAUGAUAUAGAUUUCUUCUUUUGAAGCAAUGCAAAUGAUUACCCAUUUAAUCUAAAGUUACUACUAUUAAAUUUUAUAGAUUUGCACUAUAGACAUAUCAGAUUAUUUAUCAAUCACUUUUGAUUUUUUUCCAUUUUCAUGGGGAAAGGAUUUUUUUAAGAAAAAUAUUUUAUAUAUACCGGUAUAUUAUUUACUUACAUGGUGUUGUGAUUUUAAAUUUAAAAACAACAUUCCUACAAAAUACCCAUAAAAGGUAUUAUUAAAUAAUUCUAUUUUUUCAAUAUUAUUUUUAAAAUAUAACUUUUAUAUCUUCUGACGUAUUCCCUUUUAAAACAUAUUUUCUCCUAUAUUAUUUUGAACAAUUCAUGCAUUCACAAUUCCAAUUAUUUAAAUUAUAAUGUCAGUUUGUAAUAUUUACUUGAAGACUUAUUUACUUACAUGGUGUUGUGAUUUUAAAUUUAAAAACAACAUUCCUACAAAAUACCCAUAAAAGGUAUUAUUAAAUAAUUCUAUUUUUUCAAUAUUAUUUUUAAAAUAUAACUUUUAUAUCUUCUGACGUAUUCCCUUUUAAAACAUAUUUUCUCCUAUAUUAUUUUGAACAAUUCAUGCAUUCACAAUUCCAAUUAUUUAAAUUGUAAUGUCAGUUUGUAAUAUUUACUUGAAGACUUAUAACAGGUAACAAUGUUACAUUAUGUGACUUCAUCACCAGUGUCUCAAACUUGCUGAAAUUUCUCACAGCCUGACAGACUGGUAACUUAUUGUGGCCCUGCCAAAAAACUUAUAUUCCGUACUAUCAAUCUGAUUAAAUGAAACACAAAAUUACACUUGAAAGCCAAUAAAUGAAUUAUUCAUUUACUGGUCCACCAAAUUGACAGUUUAAAAUUUUUCUGGCCAGGUGUGUCUUCAGGUCACCAUGCAUUUCACUAUUUUUAUCAUUUCAGACUGACUGUCAUUAAAUCGGGUGCUUGGCAAAUAUACUUUUUCCGACAUUUUACAUAUUAUAUUCUAUAAUAUCAGUGAGUGCCCUAGACAUUUGCAAAUUGUUAUUGCUUUAAAUAACAAAAUUUGCUUACACAUUCAAAGAAUAAAAAUAGUUAGGUUUUCUAACAGUAAAAUCUUGAACAAAUCCAAAUGAAAUGAUUUUUAGAUUAGCUGAGCUGAACAGAUGUUAUAAAAGUUAAAUUUAGAACCUUAAUUUAAAUAUAUUUAAUUCAUUUUAUCAUCAUACAUUUGUUUUUAAAAUUAUGUUUAUCAUCCCAAUAUACAAAUAAAAUCCUAAAUUUAUUUUAAAUAUGUUGAUUUAUUUUAAUUUAUUGUUAAUUGCCUAGUCCAUUAAUUGUUUGUAUUUUUAAAUUAAUUUAUGUUUUUAUUUUAAUUAAUGUUGUGCUAUUUGUGUUUGAUUAAAGAGGGGGUUAAGAGUUGAAUUACAAGUUAUGCCUAAUGUACUUCCAGUCAAAUGUUUGAAUUUACUUGUAUAGAGAUUUUGAAAAAAAAGAAAAGAAGUUGAUUUAUUUAGAACUAUUAUUUUGUACAAAAUCUAAAGAAGCUGACCAGAUUUACUUAUUACAGAAAUUAGGCAUAACUCUGUAAGUUGCAAAUAGUUCCCCAUGUAGUCCCCCACUCUACCGCCCAAUCCUUCACUUAAUUCUAGAAAUGAUUCCCAUAUUGUAUUCAAGUUCAUUUUGUUUUUAUAAAUAAAAUUUUCCUCUUUAAA
Molecule: RNA transcript, 6621 nt
Organism: Patella vulgata (common limpet)
Lineage: Eukaryota; Metazoa; Mollusca; Gastropoda; Patellidae
Exons: 4
Source: RefSeq, a predicted model, not a curated record